Molecule: ribosomal RNA, 360 nt
Filed under: Vibrio parahaemolyticus
Lineage: Bacteria; Pseudomonadati; Pseudomonadota; Gammaproteobacteria; Vibrionales; Vibrionaceae
Description: bacterial LSU rRNA
Rfam family: Bacterial large subunit ribosomal RNA
Source: RNAcentral
AAGUCCGACGAUACAGGGUGAUAGUCCCGUAGUUGACGACGUGUGUUCAGUGAAAUCGAGUAGGGCGGGACACGUGAUAUCCUGUCUGAAUAUGGGGGGACCAUCCUCCAAGGCUAAAUACUACUGACUGACCGAUAGUGAACCAGUACCGUGAGGGAAAGGCGAAAAGAACCCCUGUGAGGGGAGUGAAAUAGAACCUGAAACCGUGUACGUACAAGCAGUAGGAGCAGGCUUUGUCCUGUGACUGCGUACCUUUUGUAUAAUGGGUCAGCGACUUAUAUUCAGUGGCAAGGUUAACCAUCUAGGGGAGCCGUAGGGAAACCGAGUCUUAACUGGGCGUUCAGUCUCUGGAUAUAGACC